This is a long non-coding RNA of Lactuca sativa (garden lettuce), 1005 nucleotides long. RefSeq lists it as uncharacterized. The record is from RefSeq and is a predicted model, not a curated record. NCBI's taxonomy places the organism in Eukaryota, Viridiplantae, Streptophyta, Magnoliopsida, Asterales, Asteraceae.
UGGUUCUUUAUAAUAAUUAAAGGACUUUAGGGCUUUUGUGCCCUCAUAUUUUGCCCGAUCGAUCAAAAGAAAGAAUCAGAUGUAAGGUAGGAGCGCAAACGACACAGGUGGCUCGGUGGAGGAAGUCCAUCGUGAAGAGGAGGGAGAAGGGGUAGCCUAUCUCCGGCAAACCUUCCCAAGGCUAUUUCUCGUCGCCGACAGCAGGAAAACGAAUGGGCAACAACAGCAGCAACUGGCGGUGGUGGAGCAGGUGUCGAGUUAGCUAUUCGGUAGAUGAUGAGGAGGAACACCACCAGUGCUAGGCCGAUCGAAGGAGGCAGAAAGAGAGGGGUAGCAGCAAAGCCGUUGCCGGCAGUUUAUGGCAGCGAGGCUGCUCCGGCGACUCUUGGUUGUCCCUUCUUUGGUCCGACAGCAAAAGCAAAAGGGAAGGGAGAAACUAGCAGCAACUGUGACGAUUUCAGGGGGUAUUUGGCUUGCUCCGAUCAGCAGCAAAGAGGCUGCUACCUCUUUGAUUUCACAGAAAGAAAAAUACAUUUUGUGGGUUGAUCUUUGUUGUUUCAAUCGACAGGUAUUGCACAAGGAAUGAGUAAGGAAAAGAACCAAAAGAAGAGGUUGAUGCCUCUUGUUGUUUCUUGGCAGGAAACAAUGAAGAUGAAGGGAAAGAGGUUAUUGGUUUUUCUGUUCUUGGCAUCCUCUUUUGAGUAUGAAGAGAAAGUAUAGUCUUCUAUAGUCUUCUGUAUUUUUUUGGGUUUAAUUGUUUGUUAAAGAGUGCAAGUUAAGUCAGAGUGGCCAGACACUCCUCCAAAAUUUCAAUCUUAUAUGUCCUUUUGAUUAGAUGUGUAAGCAAUAGUCUAGACUUUUAAGUAUAUGUGUGCUGUCAAACUAGAGAAGAGAGAAGAGUAGCUUCCAAGAGAAGCAUGAUUGAACCUCCAAACAAAAGUCUUUCUUUGACUUUUAAUAGAUAUUUUAAGAAAUAAAUAUGUAUAAGAUAUUUUGUGGUAUAAA